This 85-nucleotide transfer RNA is filed under the name Schwartzia sp. (in: firmicutes). RNAcentral's name for it is "Schwartzia sp. (gut metagenome) tRNA-Leu". It matches the Rfam family "tRNA". From Rfam's summary of the family: Transfer RNA (tRNA) molecules are approximately 80 nucleotides in length. Lineage: Bacteria; Bacillati; Bacillota; Negativicutes; Selenomonadales; Selenomonadaceae. The record is from RNAcentral.
GCGGGCGUGGCGGAACUGGCAGACGCGCUGGAUUUAGGAUCCAGUGCCGCAAGGCGUGGAGGUUCAAGGCCUCUCGUCCGCACCA